This 254-nucleotide ribosomal RNA is filed under the name uncultured bacterium. Its description in RNAcentral is "partial 16S ribosomal RNA". It matches the Rfam family "Bacterial small subunit ribosomal RNA", at positions 524 to 776 of the family's 1533-position model. The record is from RNAcentral.
UACGUAGGGUGCAAGCGUUGUCCGGAAUUAUUGGGCGUAAAGAGCUCGUAGGCGGUCUGUCGCGUCUGCUGUGAAAACUCGGGGCUUAACCCCGGGCCUGCAAUGGGUACGGGCAGACUAGAGUGCGGUAGGGGAGACUGGAAUUCCGGGUGUAGCGGUGAAAUGCGUAGAUAUCCGGAGGAACACCGGUGGCGAAGGCGGCUUCCUGGACCGAUUACUGACGCUGAGGCGCGAAAGCUAGGGGAGCAAACGGG